This 274-nucleotide ribosomal RNA is filed under the name uncultured bacterium. RNAcentral's name for it is "partial 16S ribosomal RNA". It matches the Rfam family "Bacterial small subunit ribosomal RNA", at positions 523 to 796 of the family's 1533-position model. The record is from RNAcentral.
AUACGGAGGGUCCAAGCGUUAUCCGGAAUCAUUGGGUUUAAAGGGUGCGCAGGCGGUUUAAUAAGUCAGUGGUGAAAUCUCGGGGCUCAACCUCGAAACUGCCAUUGAUACUGUUAAACUUGAGUUCAGUUGGGGUAGGCGGAAUGUGUAGUGUAGCGGUGAAAUGCUUAGAUAUUACACAGAACACCGAUAGCGAAGGCAGCUUACUAAACUGAUACUGACGCUGAGGCACGAAAGCGUGGGGAGCGAACAGGAUUAGAUACCCCAGUAGUCC